Sebastes umbrosus (honeycomb rockfish) is the source of this 1329-nucleotide long non-coding RNA. RefSeq lists it as uncharacterized. The record is from RefSeq and is a predicted model, not a curated record. The transcript is spliced from 7 exons. Lineage: Eukaryota; Metazoa; Chordata; Actinopteri; Perciformes; Sebastidae.
CCUUCCUUCCCGGGGGCGGCGGCGCGCACGUUUUCACUUUACGUUCCGACGCGAUGACGUCAUUCCGAGGGGGGUUACGUCAGUGAGCGAGCGUGACAUCCAUGCACAAUCUACUAAUAGACCCCUGGCGUGUGCCUGCUGGCACUCCUUUCAGGACCUCAGAGACAACAUGGCGAACUUUGGGACUGUAACAGAAUGUGCUUCACUAAAAUGCAGAAGUGAGGCUGGUUCUCCUGCAGCAGAUGCAACCUCUGGUUCUGGUCCAGACCGCCUGCCUCCAGCACCAGGGCAAAGUGCUCAAUGUAGCGCAGUGAGAGGCGGUCCUGCAGGGAGGAGAUCACAUCCUGGAAGAAGAGACAUGGAAACUGAUAAGAGAUUGAAAUGCAUCUCCACAUUGCUGGAAGGACACCCAUUCUGCUGGAUCUUCAAGGAGGUGCCAGUGACUAGCUGUUCAUCAGGCUGCCCCGGACACUCCCGCAGGAAUCCUGCAGGACAACACCACCAGUUCAUUCUGUGGUGAAAGUGAAGGCUGAUAUAUGAAGGUAGAUUCUCCAGCCAGCCCAUCUCAUCCCUGCUAACAGGUCCUGAUGGGAAGUUGGCAAUCUUAACAUCUCCCCAAAAAUGUUGUUGCUCAGCAUGCUGCCCACUCUAAGCUGAAAUAGAAGAUGCACAGCAGGCUUUUUUUCAUUUCAGUUUUCCUUGAUACUGACACACAUUCAUUUGUUGAAACGCAAGGUGAUGAAGUACACGUCAGUGAUUCAGCAUAGAGGGGGUCCUAACAAGUAUAAGUGGCCACCUCUCUGAGACAAUAAGUGCGCCUGUGAUUGAUUAUAAUCCCAAAGUGCUUUAGGGAUAAACAACAUGUUUUUGAUGUUUGUGAUCAUUGUCUUUCAUAUGCUAAUUAAGGACAGCUUCCAAAUGUUGACGAGUGUUUCCUUUUCGCAAAAUACAGCGUUUAGUACACUGUGCUGCAUUAAUAAUAAUAAUAAUGAAGAAACAAACAUAUCUAAUUCUAAAAUUGAAAAACCUUGUUGUGAUAAUUAUGAUAGCAUAUUUAUUGUAUAUAAAAGUACAUUUCCACGCAAUUACUCAUGACUGCAGCAAAUUUGAUUACUGUAUUGACUGCAGUCAUUUACUCUGCUGCAUUAUUAAACUCCCUCACACACAUCCUGUAAUGGCCGUAGUCAUUGGCUGAUGUACCUAGCUAUAAGAGCGAACCCACAACUCUGCAUCAGCUUUCUGCUCACUGGCAUCGAAUCAAUGCAGAAUUGCAGAUGUGAGCAAAAGCUGCAGAGGACACACACACACACACGCUCAAAUCGCCGCCGU